Molecule: long non-coding RNA, 1398 nt
Organism: Paramisgurnus dabryanus
Lineage: Eukaryota; Metazoa; Chordata; Actinopteri; Cypriniformes; Cobitidae
Source: RefSeq, a predicted model, not a curated record
CUGGGCAUAAAGCCUAUUAAAUAAAAAUCUUAAAUUGAAUCAAAUCUCUUAUAAUAAUACAUAAAAGCUCUGGGAGGGUUGGGGGUACAUCUGGGUAACAUUUUAACAUUUAAUAUAUUUUGAUGUGUGUGUAUAUAUAUUAAAUUUCUUUAUUUUGUUUUCUCAGCCUUUAAACAUCUAAACAUGUCCUCCAAAAAGGUUUCCUGUGCUGUUUUGCUCCAUUUUACAGAACAAAAUAAGGCUGAGGUAGCACCAUCCUUGUGGUUAGAGUGAAAGAAUGUGGGUAUUGAGACCAAAAUAAAUAAUGUGCCAUUCUGGACAAGCAGCUGUGGACAAUAUAUGCAGUCAGAGUAGCCCAUUUUCUCACACAGAUGAGGAGCAACCAGUAAGAAAAAGCAAAAAGAUGUUUUGAUGUUGCCUGAGGCACCUUAUUCACAUCAGUCAAUUUCUUCCAAUACUGAAUCAAGAAAUCCUGGAGUGGAGAAUCAUUCUGAAAGUAGACCAAAUACAGGACAACACCACAGCAGUGGUUGGAAAAAUGCAGGAGACAAUGAGCAAGCCAAGCUGAGUUUCAAAAGAUGAUUUGUUAUCUGUUUCUUCAAAGGGGAUGCAGUUUGGGAGAUGGGAAAUAGGAGGAUGCUACAGUUACACAGGGCGAAUUUCAGCAGCUCAGUUUCACACUUGCAACUAACAAUGAAUUAUAGCUAGAAGACAACGAAAAUAUUUGACAUGGGAGUCCAGCAGACAGCCAGGGACACGCACACACACGGAGCUGAAGCGCGUUUGACUGACGCGUACGGGAGAUCAGGCACGCGCACGGGAGCUCGCGCACGCACACACAAACACGGAGCACAGGAAAAUUACAACUGUUCAAUUAAAAUAAAAUAACUUUGUGGUAAACAAUGUUUAGCGUGUCUGAUUUAAUUUGUUGUAAUGAAAUAAAACGAUGUGCUGAGGACUUUAGGCGAACGUCCCCUAAAAGUCCCGAAAGUCCGCUGACCGUCCUGCAAACGUCCUUGUGAAAGUCCGGAGGACGUCUUCGCGGACGUCCGCUCGACGUAACAGAGGACCCUACACGAUAACGUCCAUUUCCAUUUCAGAAAGGUGGCAACCCUAUGUAAAUCUUUUGUGCCCAUGUGUAAUCUCAAGUUUAAAUUUUAGCAGUUAACUGGUAUAUUCCUUAACAAAGAUAAUAGCGGCAAAAACAGAUCUAUAUGCAAUGUUACCCAAUUUACGCUUGUAAAGCGACGAAGCAGUCGCUCUGACGCGUGCACACAUGUAUCCGUGUCCACGCGCGUCUUUGCGUUCCUCCGCGCGCGCAACUGCAUCCAAAAGGGGACGCCACGCGAAUGAGUUAGUAUGAAAACAUGACGAGAAGUAAGUUUCUAAAUCAUAAUG